Neofelis nebulosa (Clouded leopard) is the source of this 776-nucleotide long non-coding RNA. RefSeq lists it as uncharacterized. The transcript has 2 exons. Lineage: Eukaryota; Metazoa; Chordata; Mammalia; Carnivora; Felidae. The record is from RefSeq and is a predicted model, not a curated record.
GGCACCGCCCACCCCCGCCUCUCUCUCUCUGUCUCUCUCUUUCUAGUUCCUGGAAUCUUAGAGUCUCCCUCUUCACUUCCUUUUUUGGGAACCAAGAAGGAGAAAAGAAACUGAAACUGAACCUGAGUUGACUGGGAAACGGAAGAUCAGGGAGUCGAUGCUCAGGGUAAUUCGCCAGAGGUCGUCUGAGGACCGGGUCUGCAAGAUCAGAGCCGGUUCUCAGACUCACCAUUCAUUCGUUUAUUAGUUCAUUCUAGAAACAUCCGUUGAAAUGCUAUGUGCCACGAACUCUGCUAGGUCCCAAGGACAACAGCAACACUUCGGGCCCGGAGCUGCCCUGUGGACAACCUGGGGGCAGAAAUGGGCGUUCACAGAGGUCAAGGCUGUGUGCUGACACUAUGCUAGUCUUUCGUUCAAAACAACUCCUCCCCGGGCGCCUGGAUGUCUCAGUGGGUCGAGCAUCAGCACUCGAUCUCAGCUCAGCUCAUGAUCUCAUGGUUCGUGAUUCAAGCCCCACGUUGGGCUCGGCGCUGACAGCAGCAGAGUCUGCUUCAGAUUCUCUCUCUCCCCCUCUCUGCUCCUCCUCUGCGCUCUCCCUCUCUCUGUCUCAAGAUAAACUUAAAGUCAAGAAAUAAACAUUAAAAAAAACCAAAACGUCCCAACUUCCUCCAACUUCUCCGUAAAAUGACUCGCGUAUGGUUUUGCCACAGCUUGCUUGUCCCAAUUUGCAAUUCUCUACUGUUCCCAAAUAAACCCAUCUUUUGGUGGUAAAAUAA